Molecule: long non-coding RNA, 684 nt
Filed under: Oryza sativa Indica Group (long-grained rice)
Lineage: Eukaryota; Viridiplantae; Streptophyta; Magnoliopsida; Poales; Poaceae
Also listed under: 1 other name
Description: lncRNA OsMH63_06G015130
Source: RNAcentral
AUGGCAUGGAGCGCCCAAAGGGAGUUGAAGUACUCAUCUCCAACCCUCCUCUGCCCAAUGCCCGAAGCAAGAGGCGUGUCGACGAUCCACUGCCGAGUGGUCGCCCAACUAAGCGCGCUGCCACCGAUGAGCCUAGGGCCAGCUCAUCCAAGAAGCCAUCCGGUGGUCCCAAGGUCCACGACCGCCACACGGAUCCCGGAGGCCUCCAAGACCUCCGGCAAGGGGAAGGACGUUUUGGUGACCUCUGAUCCAAGUUCCCGAAUGAAGAACCCGACGAGCUUAGGGGGUUCACCCGGGACUCCUCAAGCGACGACGAGGACGGCGACUACCGCCUCCAGGGCUGCUAAGGCAGAGGAUGCGACUGCAAAGGUAGCGUCCCCUGGCCCGACCAGGACCCCGAAGAUUGGGGUCCGCAAGACCCGUCGAUCCACCAGGGUAUCAACACAGGACAACCCAGACGCUGCAGCUGACUCGGCCUGGCCGAGUGGCGGAGAUGCAGCGGGAGAGGAGGUAGGUGGUGGUAACGGGUCGACGGGCGCCGCAGCUAACUCGAUCCGGCCGAGUAAAGGAGAUGUGGCAGGAGCGGAGGUAGGCGCUGGUGACGGGUCGAUGAGUGCCGCAGCUGACUCAGCCCAACUGAGUGGUGGAAAUGCGGCGGGAGCUGAGGCCGGCGCUGGUGACGGG